AGUGUCGGGUAAGUUCACUAGAAC
This 24-nucleotide non-coding RNA is filed under the name Arabidopsis thaliana (thale cress). Lineage: Eukaryota; Viridiplantae; Streptophyta; Magnoliopsida; Brassicales; Brassicaceae. The record is from RNAcentral.